This 253-nucleotide ribosomal RNA is filed under the name uncultured bacterium. RNAcentral describes it as "partial 16S ribosomal RNA". It matches the Rfam family "Bacterial small subunit ribosomal RNA", at positions 524 to 776 of the family's 1533-position model. The record is from RNAcentral.
UACGUAGGUGGCAAGCGUUGUCCGGAUUUACUGGGUGUAAAGGGCGUGCAGCCGGAGAGACAAGUCAGAUGCGAAAUCCACGGGCUCAACCCGUGAACUGCAUUUGAAACUGUUUCCCUUGAGUGUCGGAGAGGUAAUCGGAAUUCCUUGUGUAGCGGUGAAAUGCGUAGAUAUAAGGAAGAACACCAGUGGCGAAGGCGGAUUACUGGACGAUAACUGACGGUGAGGCGCGAAAGCGUGGGGAGCAAACAGG